Molecule: long non-coding RNA, 212 nt
Filed under: Elaeis guineensis (African oil palm)
Lineage: Eukaryota; Viridiplantae; Streptophyta; Magnoliopsida; Arecales; Arecaceae
Description: long non-coding RNA (EGUI_LNC022098)
Source: RNAcentral
AAGGUCCUGCAUGAGCAGUGGAUGCAAGAAAAUGCCUAGCAGGGGUCGCCAUCUCCGAAGAUCCCCCAAUCUCUAUUAUCUUGGUCAGAUCUUUCUUUGAAUUGUUGCCCACCUCUUCCAUUCGCACUUCCUUAAUUGGAUUUUUCUCAAAGCGUUCAUCGACGCUCGUCUCCGAUGACAUCUCCGUCGGUGCCCUCUCCAUCGGUGCCCCA